GAGUUUGAUCAUGGCUCAGAUUGAACGCUGGCGGCAGGCCUAACACAUGCAAGUCGAACGGUAACAGGAAACAGCUUGCUGUUUCGCUGACGAGUGGCGGACGGGUGAGUAAUGUCUGGGAAACUGCCUGAUGGAGGGGGAUAACUACUGGAAACGGUAGCUAAUACCGCAUAACGUCGCAAGACCAAAGAGGGGGACCUUCGGGCCUCUUGCCAUCAGAUGUGCCCAGAUGGGAUUAGCUAGUAGGUGGGGUAACGGCUCACCUAGGCGACGAUCCCUAGCUGGUCUGAGAGGAUGACCAGCCACACUGGAACUGAGACACGGUCCAGACUCCUACGGGAGGCAGCAGUGGGGAAUAUUGCACAAUGGGCGCAAGCCUGAUGCAGCCAUGCCGCGUGUAUGAAGAAGGCCUUCGGGUUGUAAAGUACUUUCAGCGGGGAGGAAGGGAGUAAAGUUAAUACCUUUGCUCAUUGACGUUACCCGCAGAAGAAGCACCGGCUAACUCCGUGCCAGCAGCCGCGGUAAUACGGAGGGUGCAAGCGUUAAUCGGAAUUACUGGGCGUAAAGCGCACGCAGGCGGUUUGUUAAGUCAGAUGUGAAAUCCCCGGGCUCAACCUGGGAACUGCAUCUGAUACUGGCAAGCUUGAGUCUCGUAGAGGGGGGUAGAAUUCCAGGUGUAGCGGUGAAAUGCGUAGAGAUCUGGAGGAAUACCGGUGGCGAAGGCGGCCCCCUGGACGAAGACUGACGCUCAGGUGCGAAAGCGUGGGGAGCAAACAGGAUUAGAUACCCUGGUAGUCCACGCCGUAAACGAUGUCGACUUGGAGGUUGUGCCCUUGAGGCGUGGCUUCCGGAGCUAACGCGUUAAGUCGACCGCCUGGGGAGUACGGCCGCAAGGUUAAAACUCAAAUGAAUUGACGGGGGCCCGCACAAGCGGUGGAGCAUGUGGUUUAAUUCGAUGCAACGCGAAGAACCUUACCUGGUCUUGACAUCCACGGAAGUUUUCAGAGAUGAGAAUGUGCCUUCGGGAACCGUGAGACAGGUGCUGCAUGGCUGUCGUCAGCUUGUGUUGUGAAAUGUUGGGUUAAGUCCCGCAACGAGCGCAACCCUUAUCCUUUGUUGCCAGCGGUCCGGCCGGGAACUCAAAGGAGACUGCCAGUGAUAAACUGGAGGAAGGUGGGGAUGACGUCAAGUCAUCAUGGCCCUUAUGACCAGGGCUACACACGUGCUACAAUGGCGCAUACAAAGAGAAGCGACCUCGCGAGAGCAAGCGGACCUCAUAAAGUGCGUCGUAGUCCGGAUUGGAGUCUGCAACCCGACUCCAUGAAGUCGGAAUCGCUAGUAAUCGUGGAUCAGAAUGCCACGGUGAAUACGUUCCCGGGCCUUGUACACACCGCCCGUCACACCAUGGGAGUGGGUUGCAAAAGAAGUAGGUAGCUUAACCUUCGGGAGGGCGCUUACCACUUUGUGAUUCAUGACUGGGGUGAAGUCGUAACAAGGUAACCGUAGGGGAACCUGCGGUUG
RNAcentral lists this ribosomal RNA (1521 nucleotides) under metagenome. RNAcentral's name for it is "bacterial SSU rRNA". It matches the Rfam family "Bacterial small subunit ribosomal RNA". The record is from RNAcentral.